UACGUAGGGUGCGAGCGUUAAUCGGAAUUACUGGGCGUAAAGCGUGCGCAGGCGGCUUCUCAAGUCAGGGGUGAAAGCCCAGAGCUCAACUCUGGAACUGCCUUUGAGACUGAGAGGCUUGAGUACGGGAGAGGUGAGUGGAAUUCCCAGUGUAGAGGUGAAAUUCGUAGAUAUUGGGAAGAACACCGGUGGCGAAGGCGGCUCACUGGCCCGUAACUGACGCUCAUGCACGACAGCGUGGGGAUCAAACAGG
Molecule: ribosomal RNA, 253 nt
Filed under: uncultured bacterium
Lineage: Bacteria
Description: partial 16S ribosomal RNA
Rfam family: Bacterial small subunit ribosomal RNA
Source: RNAcentral